UAGGGAAUCUUCCACAAUGGACGCAAGUCUGAUGGAGCAACGCCGCGUGAGUGAAGAAGGCUUUCGGGUCGUAAAACUCUGUUAUUGAAGAAGAACGUGUGUGACAGUAACUGGUCAUGCAGUGACGGUAUUCAAUCAGAAAGUCACGGCUAACUACGUGCCAGCAGCCGCGGUAAUACGUAGGUGGCAAGCGUUGUCCGGAUUUAUUGGGCGUAAAGCGAGUGCAGGCGGUCUUUUAAGUCUGAUGUGAAAGCCUUCGGCUUAACCGAAGA
Molecule: ribosomal RNA, 272 nt
Filed under: uncultured bacterium
Lineage: Bacteria
Description: partial 16S ribosomal RNA
Rfam family: Bacterial small subunit ribosomal RNA
Source: RNAcentral